ACAAGGUCACCCUCUCUGAAUACACGAGGUUAAACCUUCUUGUCAAAUGCUUUCUUCAUUCUAUUUUGAUAUAACUGACCAUGACACAAGGUUGUCAUUCUUUUCUCUUCAAUCAAAUUCAACUGACCAUAUCUGCUCGGACACCAUUCAACCUCAGAGAAACUGGAUUCCAUCAGGACUCACAUUGAUGGGAUCUCAACCUCCACAAGGAGCACUUCUUCCAUGCCAUAAACAAGAGAUAA
Molecule: long non-coding RNA, 242 nt
Filed under: Lathyrus oleraceus (garden pea)
Lineage: Eukaryota; Viridiplantae; Streptophyta; Magnoliopsida; Fabales; Fabaceae
Description: Pisum sativum (pea) long non-coding RNA (PSAT_LNC006469)
Source: RNAcentral